This 90-nucleotide non-coding RNA is filed under the name uncultured Emergencia sp. RNAcentral describes it as "Pyrrolysine insertion sequence mtbB". It matches the Rfam family "Pyrrolysine insertion sequence mtbB". The record is from RNAcentral. Lineage: Bacteria; Bacillati; Bacillota; Clostridia; Peptostreptococcales; Anaerovoracaceae.
UAGAUAGGCGUAGGAGACCCACUUGGCGCAGAAGCUACACACGCUCUUGCUGCAGGUAUGGGCGGUAUCCGCACUGCCGGAGAUCUGGUA